CAAAAAUAUUACCUAUUCCUAUAACCCUCUGCAAAUUAAAUUGGAGACCUAGCCUAACGAUUGAAAUGGAAGAAAGAUCAGGAACCAGCUAGCGCUCUCAAUCUCACUCCAAAUCUCAGUUCUCCUUUGCACUCUUGCUCUCAAUCUCACUGGCGCUCUCAAUCGUGCUCCUUCGCUCCUUGAAUCUUUCUCGUUUCAACAAAUUUUAGGGUUGGAUUUGUUAUUUUCUGUUUUGAGAUUUUGAAUUUAGGUAUAAAUGAGUUUAAUUGCUCCUUCAAUUCAGUGGUGGGACUAGCAAGAAAACUUCACAAUCAGAUUUGAUAAUCAGAAUUGGAGAAUAAGAGUGCCAUAUCUAAGAGUUGAGGGAUUGUUGAAUUUGAUUGUAGAGCUUGAGAGCGGAAGCCACGACUGUGUCCACCGAGAAGGCUUCAUCUUCGAACAGCAUCUGAUUUCUCGUCUUCCAUAUGAGCCAACUCAGAAUCGCCAUCAAACUGUACGGAGAAGGAGCUUCGUCGCCGUCAAGAUCGAUAGAAUGAAUUGUCGAUAUCCUCUUCUACUGAUGUGGAUGGAAUACGGUGAUUCAGUGCUUGAAGGGUUGGGAGCCUCUCAUGAAAUCCCCUCCAGAGAAAGAUCUUGAUCUUCACCGGAAUCCUCAGCUGCCACAUAUCCUUCCAGAGAGCUCGAUUUUGCAUAGCUUCAGAGCAAAAUUCAACCGGUGGGUGAUUGAACCUGUAAGCUACCUGGUAUCCUCUACUUGUUUCGUACAGACCACUUCUAUUAAGAGCUCAUAUAAUUUUAUCAUCUCCCCUGUUUAUACGUGUGGCCAGUAUCCUCUCAGAAUUUUCAGAAUUGAAAGUGUUUGUAAUAAGAGUUUGAUCCCACUCACCAUUGGGUAAAAUUAAAUUUCUGACAUAC
This is a non-coding RNA of Arachis ipaensis, 915 nucleotides long. The record is from RefSeq and is a predicted model, not a curated record. Lineage: Eukaryota; Viridiplantae; Streptophyta; Magnoliopsida; Fabales; Fabaceae.